CUUUUUAUAGCUUUGAAGAAGCUUAAACUAAAGAAGGAUAAAGUUUAUCCCAUGGAGUCCAUCCUUUGUAUCAAUAGCACUUAGGCUUUGUUGUUAAUUGUGACCACCCUUCAGAAUGUGGAAAACACGCCAAUGGGAAGCUUAGCUUCAUGGCAGUUCUGCUUUGGCCUUGGGCUGGACACCCACUUAUGCACAGUAUGACUCAAACUCCCUUCUUGUAACGCCUUAUCUCUAGACACCAUUCUCCAUGAAUCCCUUUCUUUAUUCGUAAUCAUUUCUAAUCCUCAUGCUCCUCUGUCUGACCUUCUCUUCCCACAAAAAUCCAGAAAGUAUGCACUUAAUAAACAAACAGAUCCAUUGACAAAGAUAGAUGUAUUCAGGGAAGCUUUACCAAAAUUCAACUUCAAACUGGUAUUUAAUAAAAUUCCAGCCAAAAUGCUCAUUUGUAACUCUAGCCAACUAUUUUAUUGAAACCAACUUGAAGCCAAACAUUUUCUGAAUGCCUACAAGGCUACAAAAAUAAUAAAUAAUGUUUGGCUCUCUUUCAAACCUUGGAGGAUUCAGUCUCGAUCACAGAAAGAACAAGAAGACAAGGUAAAAGGAAAUAGACCUGAGAAAGGUUAUGGCUUGGCUAGUGACCCCCCAACCAGAAAUCAAACAGUAGUUCAUUUGGAGAGCUUUCAGGCAUUCAAUACAACUGCUAGGAAAUCAGGAUACAGAAAAGAAACAUUGAUUGGGUUCUUAUGAGUCCUCUUAUAUACCAGCACUUUUCCAAUUGACUUUUGUAGAUUCCCUGCCUUUAAGUUAAUUUCCAAAAAAGGGGAUGUUUAAGACAACUGAAUGUGACAAAAUUAGUAAAAUUCCAG
This 866-nucleotide long non-coding RNA is filed under the name Marmota monax (woodchuck). Lineage: Eukaryota; Metazoa; Chordata; Mammalia; Rodentia; Sciuridae. The record is from RNAcentral.